AGUGGGGAAUAUUGCACAAUGGGGGAAACCCUGAUGCAGCCAUGCCGCGUGUGUGAAGAAGGCCUUCGGGUUGUAAAGCACUUUCAGUCGUGAGGAAAGGGUGUAAGUUAAUACCUUGCACCUGUGACGUUAGCGACAGAAGAAGCACCGGCUAACUCCGUGCCAGCAGCCGCGGUAAUACGGAGGGUGCGAGCGUUAAUCGGAAUUACUGGGCGUAAAGCGUGCGUAGGCGGUUUGAUAAGUCAGAUGUGAAAUCCCGGAGCUUAACUUCGGAACUGCAUUUGAAACUGUUUAACUAGAGUACUGUAGAGGGUGGUGGAAUUUCCAGUGUAGCGGUGAAAUGCGUAGAGAUUGGAAGGAACAUCAGUGGCGAAGGCGGCCACCUGGACAGAUACUGACGCUGAGGCACGAAAGCGUGGGGAGCGAA
RNAcentral lists this ribosomal RNA (427 nucleotides) under uncultured Thalassotalea sp. RNAcentral describes it as "bacterial SSU rRNA". It matches the Rfam family "Bacterial small subunit ribosomal RNA", at positions 353 to 772 of the family's 1533-position model. Lineage: Bacteria; Pseudomonadati; Pseudomonadota; Gammaproteobacteria; Alteromonadales; Colwelliaceae. The record is from RNAcentral.